This is a long non-coding RNA of Phacochoerus africanus (Common warthog), 1226 nucleotides long. RefSeq lists it as uncharacterized. NCBI's taxonomy places the organism in Eukaryota, Metazoa, Chordata, Mammalia, Artiodactyla, Suidae. The record is from RefSeq and is a predicted model, not a curated record. The transcript has 10 exons.
GCUUUACAAGGAUUGACCGAUGUGAUUUUCCCAGCCAGCCUAUGAAGUAGCUGCCAUUACAUCUUAAAUUUACAGAUGAUGAAACUGAGCCCCAGAGAAGUUAAACAACCUGCGCCAAGUGACAGAGCUAAUAAAUGGCUGACUCGGAUCCUUGACCAAGACCUAGCAAGUGGCAAGUGUUCAAUGUGGCUUUGACAGCCUCAUCAAUACCGGGCUUCGGUCAGCCACGAAAAAUCCAGCAGAGUUGCCGAGCAAGGUGAACACUGUCUUUGAUGCAGAAAAUACCUGGAAAUCCCUAGAGAAGGCUGUCUUUUUCCUCACCAGUAAAUCAAGGCAGAGGUGGACUAGAAGAAUUCUAUGAAGGAAGACACAUCCUGCUGAAGCCAGAGGUGCUUGCUGUCCAUCCCAACCUCAUUUGGAAUAUUUCUGUGGCUCAGAUUCAGUGAACUCCAAACAUGUGGACCAGUGCUCCUGUGGCCAUCACACUACGUCAAGGGUGAAGUCUGUUAAAACAAAUGAAGGGAUUGUUACCCAGCAUCUUGUCGAGCAAGUAUGAUAAUCGGAAAAAAGAGGAGGUUGUUGAAGAAGUGUUCAGAAGAGAGUGGGACUUUGAAAAUGGAAGAUGGAUGAACUGCAAGAUGAUUCAUUACCAGCUAGAAAAAUAACCAGCAUCCAGGACAGCGAUUCAGAAAGGAAGUUACGGAAAGAAUGGGCAUCAGAAGUUUGGAGUCACUGUGAUUAAAGGGGUCUUCCUGAGUGACAAGAGACCUUGUGCUCCAGACCGAAUGUUUUGCAGAGCCCUUGAUUGCUCCAGUUUUCUCAGACUCUGCUGAAGAAGUUCUGGCUCUCUACCUCAUUACAGGCAAAGAAGACUCUUAAGCAGUGAGACACAGGGACUUGAAGAGGAAGUUACCAGUAUGCAUGGAAAUUGUCCCCUAAAGUGACCUCCCAGAAAAAAGGCACAGGAAUGGGACACUGAUGGUGUCUGCCACAGGUGCAAGGGAACAGCAGCCAUUUGGACUACUUACAAACAUUUGUGAAGAUCUUUAUAAGUACAGCCAGAAUGCUUUCCAGAUAAGGUAAGCAAAACAAAGAUUUCUGUCACCAGAAUGAGUGUGAUCAACUCCCCACACUCACCAGGACAGAAUAUUAUCUUUUCUUUAUUUCAGUACACUAAUAGACAAGAUAAUUUUAUUUGUCUUUUUACUGCCUGUCUUUGGUUCACA